Molecule: long non-coding RNA, 852 nt
Organism: Homo sapiens (human)
Lineage: Eukaryota; Metazoa; Chordata; Mammalia; Primates; Hominidae
Source: Ensembl
AAUUUGCUCUCUGCCUCACUGCCUGAGCUGGAACAUUUGUCUUCUGUCCUCAGACUGGGCUUUACCCCAUCUACUCCCAGGAUACUCAGACCUUCAGACUCUGGCUGAAUUAUAACACUGACUUUCCUGGGUCUCCAGCUUGCAAAUGGCAGGCUAUGGAACUUCUCAGCCCACAAUCACCCUUCAGGGUAGACCGAGGAGAGCACCUCCCCUUCCUGGUGAAGGGAGCCCGAUACACGCUGGUGCCGGCUGGCCAAGAAGGAGGUGGACAAACCUGGCGACCGCUCCCUGGCACCACCUCACCAGAGGACAGCUCACACCUCCACAGGGGUCAGAAGAAAGGAGCUGCCCUGGGGAUGGCUGUGUAUCCCUACAACUGCCAGGCACAUGCCCCUUGAACACCCGAUGCUACGUGUCCCAAAGGAAACUGGUCUCCACCCACCCCCGGCCCGUCCUCGUCCUGGGUACCCCACCUUAGUAAAUGGCGCCACCAUCUGCCCGGUCACUCAGCGAGAAACUCAACUCCUGGCAGCAGAUGACGGGCACUCUGGUUAAAUGACUCUCUCCAGCCUCCAAGUUCAACCUGCAGGGAAGCCCUGGAAAUCCUGUCUCCCUCUGCCCUGCCUCUCCUUCAGCUCCGAACCCCACCCCACUCAGUACAUGGCCCCCCAACAGGCUUUCAAAUGUCUGCCUUCCCCAAACCAAUCUGUGGUUUUAAAAGAAGUAAGGUCAGGUACAGUAGCUCAUGCCUGUAAUCCCAGCACUUUGGGAGGCCGAGGCAGGCGGAUCACCUGAGGUCAGGAGUUUGAGACCAGUCUGGCCAACAUGGCGAAACCCCGUCUCUACUAAAAA